GGCAUGGUGGCUCAGUGGUUAGAGCGCCCGCCUCAUGAACGGGUGGUCGUGGUUCGAACCCCGGCCGAGUCA
RNAcentral lists this transfer RNA (72 nucleotides) under Strongylocentrotus purpuratus (purple sea urchin). It matches the Rfam family "tRNA". Rfam says of the family: Transfer RNA (tRNA) molecules are approximately 80 nucleotides in length. Their secondary structure includes four short double-helical elements and three loops (D, anti-codon, and T loops). The record is from Rfam by way of RNAcentral. Lineage: Eukaryota; Metazoa; Echinodermata; Echinoidea; Camarodonta; Strongylocentrotidae.